UGUACAUGGCCGUAGAGUUGUCAGCUAAACGUAACUGCUAGUAACGCUUCAUGCCAUGUUAGAGCAAUCAAAACUCCCAUUUUACUACCAAUUUAGCGAUUGUUUCUCCUGGGAUGUGCAAUGCAAAUGUUCGUUACGAUUUUUAAGUCUAAAUCGCAAACUGCUGAUAGUUGCAUACAUUG
This is a non-coding RNA of Drosophila innubila, 182 nucleotides long. NCBI's taxonomy places the organism in Eukaryota, Metazoa, Arthropoda, Insecta, Diptera, Drosophilidae. The record is from RefSeq and is a predicted model, not a curated record.